AGUGAAGAAGCGCAUACGGUG
Molecule: ribosomal RNA, 21 nt
Filed under: Pseudomonas fluorescens
Lineage: Bacteria; Pseudomonadati; Pseudomonadota; Gammaproteobacteria; Pseudomonadales; Pseudomonadaceae
Description: partial 23S ribosomal RNA
Source: RNAcentral